RNAcentral lists this ribosomal RNA (253 nucleotides) under uncultured bacterium. Its description in RNAcentral is "partial 16S ribosomal RNA". It matches the Rfam family "Bacterial small subunit ribosomal RNA", at positions 524 to 776 of the family's 1533-position model. The record is from RNAcentral.
UACGAAGGGGGCUAGCGUUGCUCGGAAUCACUGGGUUUAAAGGGUGCGUAGGCGGAUAGGUAAGUCCGUGGUGAAAUCCUGCAGCUUAACUGCAGAACUGCCAUGGAUACUAUCUCUCUUGAAUGUCGUGGAGGUUAGCGGAAUAUGUCAUGUAGCGGUGAAAUGCUUAGAGAUGACAUAGAACACCCAUUGCGAAGGCAGCUAACUACGCGAUAAUUGACGCUGAUGCACGAAAGCGUGGGGAUCAAACAGG